RNAcentral lists this long non-coding RNA (289 nucleotides) under Gossypium raimondii (Peruvian cotton). RNAcentral describes it as "long non-coding RNA (GRAI_LNC003872)". Lineage: Eukaryota; Viridiplantae; Streptophyta; Magnoliopsida; Malvales; Malvaceae. The record is from RNAcentral.
UCUUUUCUUUGCUGCCAAAACCGAACCCCCUCUCUUCCUCUCAUCUUCUUCUUUUAAAUCCUUCAAUUUUGUCUUCUUUCCUUUGUUUUCAGGCGGUAGGGGAGCAUCAUUGGCCUAGGGAGGCUGCUGGAGUAGCUGGAGGUGGGUGGAGCACGCUUGGCUGCCGACUGGCAGAUUUGACAUGUCUAGGAGGACCAAAUUGUAAAGGGUGUAAAGUUUUCGGGGUAAAAAUGUAAUUUUAGAAAAAUAUAGGGCUAAAAUGUAAUUUUUAGAAAUUUUAGGGGUCCGA